RNAcentral lists this long non-coding RNA (237 nucleotides) under Lathyrus oleraceus (garden pea). RNAcentral describes it as "Pisum sativum (pea) long non-coding RNA (PSAT_LNC015736)". Lineage: Eukaryota; Viridiplantae; Streptophyta; Magnoliopsida; Fabales; Fabaceae. The record is from RNAcentral.
CCAAUUCAUUUGAUCCCACCUCAAAAUCAUAAAAAAUGAAUGAGUUAUGUUCUUGGGAAGUUGACCUAAAAUUAGGGUUUCAGUCAAAAUGACCUAUAAUGUCUUGGAAUGGAUGAUGACCUUCCAAGACACCUCAAAAUCAUAAAAAAUGAAUGAGUUAUGUUCUUGGGAAGUUGACCUAAAAUUAGGGUUUCAGUCAAAAUGACCUAUAAUGUCUUGGAAUGGAUGAUGACCUUC